AAAGCCCAGAUGUAUCUCUGCUUAUUGUUCCAAUUGGAGAGAGCAGUAGAAUGAACGUGAAGAAAGGCAAAUUUGUGUAUCUGAUUACAGGCAAGUAUGGGAAUUCUCUCUCACGCUUUCUCCUCUCCACCUGCACUCGGAAAGGGAGAAGAUGAAGUAGCAGGUGCCUGAGGAGAGUAGAGAUUACAAAUAUCCUGGAGAACUGGAUGGAAAGCUGCCUAAGAAACCGAGGCAUCCGCGGUAGGUGUCGGCCUGUGGCGGGCGAACAGGACCAGGAGACAACUGUUGUUCUUCAUUCGUCGGCUUCCCUUCAUUUUUACUACAAACGUCGCCUUCCACCUCUUGAACGACGCCCGCAACUACCCGGCUGGUACUUCAGGAGGCGGGGCCUCCGGGUUUCCACUAUCUCCGAGGCCUCUGGGAGUGGUAGUUUUCCGAGGGCACUUUGCGCAGGCGCUCUGUGGUCCCCGCCGCUAGUGGGGCCGCCGGGAGCCGGUUGGCGCCCAAGCUCUGCCAACUCUGGCCUGGUACUUUUCCAAGAGGACAUAGAAGAGGAGAGGAUGGCAGCUGUGCCCCUAACAGCCAGAUGGCAGUAGUCUUUACUCUUCCUCAGUGAUACAUAAAAGAAGGCACAUAGGUGAGUAAGAACAUGUUUGUCUUUUCAGAAGUCACUCAAGUUUAAGGAUGUGGCUGUGAAGUUCUCAAAGGAUGAGUGGAAGCAGCUGGUCCCUACUCAGAGGGCUCUUUACAGGGAGGUGAUGCUGGAGAAUUAUCAGGGUUUUGUUUCUUUGGGUAAGCUCGACUCUUCACUGACUGCCAUUGGGUGUGUGUGUAAAGAAUAUGGUCCCUCUUUUUUUUUUUAAGUUUUUAUUUAUUUUUGAGAGAGAGUGAGUGUACAGCAGGGGAGGGGCAGAGAGAAAGGGAGAGAGAGAGAAUCCCAAGCAGGCUCCAUACUCAAUGUGGAGCCCAACAUGGGGCUCAGUCUCUCUACUGUGAGAUCAUGAUCUGAACCAAAAUCAAGAGUCGGACGCUUAGCCAACUGAGCCACCCAGGUGCCCCUAGCCCUUCCUUUCUUGCUGGGGCAGAAUUGUACAUGUUUAGAUAGAUCCCUAGCAAGGGUAUGAGCGGUUUGUGAGUUUAUUUACCUUUUGUUGUCUGUAUUUUACUAGUGGCUGUCAGUACUGUCAAUCAAUGGGCUUCUUGAUCAGGAUAGAAUCUGAAGGAUAAGUGAAGGUUGGUCUGAGACUCAGCUUUAAGCAAAAAAUUGUGUUAUAUAAAAUGGAAAAUGGGUACCCCCUUUUCUGGGAAUUGACCUAAGGGGGGAAAAUCAGAUAAAUGUUUAUCUCUUUUUUGGUUAAAAUUGUGAAACAAUGGAAACAACACAGGUACUUGGUAGUAGGGAUUUAGGUAAAUGAAUCAUUGUAUAUCCAUAAUGGAUUACAGUAUAGUAUGGGCCUUGACCAUGAAUGAUAUUUAUUGAGGUGGAAAGAUAAUAGUGAUAUAUUGUUAAAUAAUAAAACCAGGAUACAAAAUGAUUGGAACC
This 1543-nucleotide long non-coding RNA is filed under the name Suricata suricatta (meerkat). RNAcentral describes it as "lncRNA (ENSSSUG00005003417.1)". Lineage: Eukaryota; Metazoa; Chordata; Mammalia; Carnivora; Herpestidae. The record is from RNAcentral.